This 508-nucleotide ribosomal RNA is filed under the name uncultured bacterium. RNAcentral's name for it is "bacterial SSU rRNA". It matches the Rfam family "Bacterial small subunit ribosomal RNA", at positions 28 to 525 of the family's 1533-position model. The record is from RNAcentral.
GAUGAACGCUAGCGAUAGGCCUAACACAUGCAAGUCGAGGGGCAUCACAUGAAGUAGCAAUACGGAUGGUGGCGACCGGCGCACGGGUGAGUAACACGUAUGCAACCUGCCUUCAACAAGGGGAUAACCCGUUGAAAGACGGACUAAUACCCUAUAACACAGGGGUCCCGCAUGGGGAUAUUUGUUAAAGGACAACCGGUUGAAGAUGGGCAUGCGUUCCAUUAGCUAGUUGGCGGGGUAACGGCCCACCAAGGCAACGAUGGAUAGGGGAACUGAGAGGUUUAUCCCCCACACUGGUACUGAGACACGGACCAGACUCCUACGGGAGGCAGCAGUGAGGAAUAUUGGUCAAUGGACGCAAGUCUGAACCAGCCACGUCGCGUGAAGGAAGACGGCCCUACGGGUUGUAAACUUCUUUUAUACGGGAAUAAAGUGCCCCACGCGUGGGGUUUUGCAUGUACCGUAUGAAUAAGGAUCGGCUAACUCCGUGCCAGCAGCCGCGGUAAUU